CUGUGCCAUGCACAUACCUUGCUUAGCACUAGCAGCAUCAGUAGCAGAUUGCGGCAUACACAGGAAGAAAAGUGAAUAAUAUUGGAACCAAUAGAAUCUCGGCCGACUUCGGCUGGCUGGCCCGUUGUUGUUACGCACAACAUUGCUUCUGCGUGGAUGCCUCCGCUCUCGAUAGGAUUGGAUAUACACGUACCGGAUCAAAACCCGUUGAAAUUCGGAUGACAGAAAAAAAGAAGCGACAUGGUGCGCAGUGGCGAACAAGACCCGGAUCAUUUCCUCCGUUAUUAUCAAUUGAAAGCUUUUCUAAGCCCGGUAUUGCAUGAGUAUGCAUCUUGU
Long non-coding RNA from Armigeres subalbatus, 336 nucleotides. RefSeq lists it as uncharacterized. The record is from RefSeq and is a predicted model, not a curated record. Lineage: Eukaryota; Metazoa; Arthropoda; Insecta; Diptera; Culicidae. The transcript has 3 exons.